AGAUCUCUUGUGUGAAAUAUUUAGGUAAUGACUAUCAUAAAAGAGACCACUUUAGAGUGCAAUAAUGUGCUCUGAAAGAGUCUUCUGUGUCAGUUAGGAAUAAAAAAAUCAUUAUACUUGGCACUGUAUUUAUUGUGCCCAAUACUGAGUGAGUUGUAGCUGAGUAAACCUGAAAUGUAUUUGUGCUUCUAGUGUACCUGCCAUCCUGCCCACAAACUUGCACCAUCACUGUGAUUGUCCCCAGCAUAUUUUUAAAGGUUUCUCUCUCCCUUCCUACCUUUCACUCAUUAUUUUAUUUUAUUUUUUUUUUUACUUUUUAACAUUAUGAAUACAUAAAAAUAGGAUGAACUGAUGAAAAACAGCUGAGAUAGGAGAUAAAGAACAAGUCUAUUACUUGUUACUUUUGUAAAUACUACCUACGGCCACCUAUAGUUCUCUUUGCCUUCUUUCUUUUGACAUAUUCCCAGAUUUAUUACUGUUUGAAAUACCAGAAUGCAUAGAAGUGAGUGAUGUUAGGAAAAAUCCACUACAGCUUUGAGACAUUUGUUUUCCAGAGUUUGCUGUUCAUUACAGGUAUGUACCUGCAGUUAAGGUUUGCUAAAAAUACCAUAGUUCAUUACUACUAUGGCUAAUUAGCCUUGAUAAUUCUGAAAAUGCGUUCUAUUUAUGUUUACUUUGAGCACACAAGAAUGCAUGGCAAGGUUUGAUUGAACACUGAAGGAAAAAGGCAGUCUUCACCUUGAAGAGUUUACCAGCUGAAAAUACAUGGUGAGGGUGUGUACAUGGAAAUGUAGGGCUUACCACACAGGAGUAGUCAGGCUGAGAAGGGUUGAGUCACAGGAAAGGAAUGAGCAAUGGCCUGUCAGGAAACACCCUGUGAGUUCCAAACAUUCUUAUUUUUGUUUGAUAGGGGUUGGGUAGGUGGAGAUCAGGACAAAGCAAAGGCAUGGAGAGAAAGGCAAGGACGUUUCAAGAUAUGGAGAGCUCUCCUGGAGAAACUAUCAAAAAAUACAGCAAGUCUGUCAAAGCUAAAUGCCUGCUCUGAGUACUGUGGAUGGUGUCUGGGACACCAGCAUACUGCUAGCUGGAGAAGCAGUUACCCCUACCGAAGAGGAACUUUCUGCCCUUGCCUUACAGAUGGCCUAAUUAUAAAGAAAGAAAAGAGAAACAUUGUGGAGGUGCAAAAGACAAGUCGGGAUUCCCCUCUGGCAGCUCCUCCUUCCAGGCUCUGUGGAAAUGACUUUGUUUGUUGGGAAAUACAGAGGGACACUCAGUCUAUUUCUCACACACCCCAGCCAGUUACCUCAGGUCUCUUCAUGAGUGGGCAAUGGUCCAUGAUAAACACUCAGUUUUGGAUGCCAUCUUUUCAGGACCCUGUUGGUCCCUCUCUCAUCAGCUUAAGCUGAGUCUUUUUAUGCUGUACAUUUGAGGUCUGCCUUCUUCCCCUGCAUUAGGGCACAGACUCCAGGAAUUCUUCACAUUAGAACAAUAGGGCUUAAAUGGUAUUAUUUAUAUAUUUAUUUUCUGGAGGAAUGCUUGGCUUGCUGCAAUGAACAGAUCAUCUGUCUGAUUAAAAUGUUGGACUUUGGAGAUUGCUCAUGUUCUGUCAUUAGAACACGAAACUUGGUUUGCCAGAUGGGCAUGUUCUUUACUUCAGCUCAAAUGGCAGUUUUAAAUAUAUUCCCAUGUAGCUUUUCUCUUGUAUCAAACAUGAGAAAAUAAUAAUUUCCCUCUGAUGCACUGUCCAGAGUUGACAACUUCUAAACUAUGAAGAUAGGGAGGGAUGCUGAAUCUCUGUGUAUCAUCUGAUUUUCCAGUGCCCACCAAAUCUGGAGUGGAACUUUUCCACAUCUUCAAGCCACUUUGCACAUGCACAGUUCCUUUCAGCAUUGAAACCUUUCUACCCUACAUGUCAAUUAAAUCUCUGGUAUUUAUAACAAAGAUUGACUGAGAUGGUUAUGUGCAGAAGCCACUCAGAGUUCUAUGUAAGAAUAUGAAACAUUUAUCUCAUUUCAAAACUCCUGUGAUUUGUCCAAAAUACAAGGAAAAUUUGUACUGAUCUGGGUGAAUCAAUUCCUACGCUGUUUCAGUCCUGGAAGAAAGCAGGAAAAAGAGAUAAAGAAAAUAGUUUGGCAUGUGGUAAGGACACAGAUAUAGGUGUAAUAGAGAAGGAUGGAGCAAAAUGCCAGCAGAAAAGACUGAGGGUCGUGGUGGAGUGGAAUACCUGAGCUUGUAAUGUCUGCAGUCAUUACACAAUCUCUCAGGUUCAAGAUUUGUAUGACUGAGGAAUCAUCUUACCAGAGAAUGCUGAGGAACAUCCCAGGAGGAAACAGUAGAUAAACACAGUAAAGACCUCAGAUCAUUUUGCAAGAGAAACAAAAUAAAAAUGAACAGGCAAAGCUUCCUGAAUGCCCC
RNAcentral lists this long non-coding RNA (2415 nucleotides) under Anas platyrhynchos platyrhynchos (common mallard). RNAcentral's name for it is "lncRNA (ENSAPLG00000019571.1)". Lineage: Eukaryota; Metazoa; Chordata; Aves; Anseriformes; Anatidae. The record is from RNAcentral.